UACGAAGGGUGCUAGCGUUGUUCGGAAUUACUGGGCGUAAAGAGCGCGUAGGCGGUUAUACAAGUCAGGGGGGAAAUCCCGGAGCUUAACUCCGGAACUGCCUUUGAAACUGUAUAGCUGGAGUGUGUGAGGGGAUAGCGGAAUUCCUAAUGUAGAGGUGAAAUUCGUAGAUAUUAGGAGGAACACCGGUGGCGAAGGCGGCUAUCUGGCGCACAACUGACGCUGAGGCGCGAAAGCGUGGGGAUCAAACAGG
RNAcentral lists this ribosomal RNA (253 nucleotides) under uncultured bacterium. RNAcentral describes it as "partial 16S ribosomal RNA". It matches the Rfam family "Bacterial small subunit ribosomal RNA", at positions 524 to 776 of the family's 1533-position model. The record is from RNAcentral.